This 441-nucleotide non-coding RNA is filed under the name Myotis lucifugus (little brown bat). RNAcentral describes it as "Eukaryotic large subunit ribosomal RNA". It matches the Rfam family "Eukaryotic large subunit ribosomal RNA", at positions 2421 to 2814 of the family's 3401-position model. The record is from Rfam by way of RNAcentral. Lineage: Eukaryota; Metazoa; Chordata; Mammalia; Chiroptera; Vespertilionidae.
CUCAACUCUAUUCUGGAACAAUGAAGAGACUCAAGCAGUAUGUAACAAGUGGGAGGCUCCCAGCUCUGAGUGCACACACACCCUAAUUACCACAUCCCUGCCUUAAAAGGGUGGGAAUGGGGCAGCCCUAUGGGCCACCUGUGAAAUACCAAUGCUCUCACUAUUUUUUCCACAGGCCAAAGGGGCUCUUGCUUCUGGCUCUAAGCACCUAGUCAACUAGCCAGACACAACCCACUCCAGGGACAUUGAUCAUUAGGGAGCUGAACUGGUAUGGUACACCUGUGAAAUGGUAAUGCAGGUGUCCUAAGGAACUCAGGGAGGACAGAAACCACAGAUGGAGCAGAAGAGCAAAAGCUCACUUAAUCUGAUUUUCAGUAUGAAUACAGACUACAAAAGUGGGGACACACACACACACACAAUAAAAAAUUCACGGGAGAAGAG